RNAcentral lists this ribosomal RNA (825 nucleotides) under Septoria clematidis. RNAcentral's name for it is "eukaryotic LSU rRNA". It matches the Rfam family "Eukaryotic large subunit ribosomal RNA", at positions 71 to 925 of the family's 3401-position model. The record is from RNAcentral. Lineage: Eukaryota; Fungi; Ascomycota; Dothideomycetes; Mycosphaerellales; Mycosphaerellaceae.
GGGAUUGCCCUAGUAACGGCGAGUGAAGCGGCAACAGCUCAAAUUUGAAAUCUGGCGCAAGCCCGAGUUGUAAUUUGUAGAGGAUGCUUCUGGGUAGCGACCGAUCUAAGUUCCUUGGAACAGGACGUCAUAGAGGGUGAGAAUCCCGUACGUGACCGGCCCGCACCCUUUACGUAGCUCCUUCGACGAGUCGAGUUGUUUGGGAAUGCAGCUCUAAAUGGGAGGUAAAUUUCUUCUAAAGCUAAAUACCGGCCAGAGACCGAUAGCGCACAAGUAGAGUGAUCGAAAGAUGAAAAGUACUUUGGAAAGAGAGUUAAAAAGCACGUGAAAUUGUUGAAAGGGAAGCGCCUACAACCAGACUUCGCGGCAGUGUUCCGCCGGUCUUCUGACCGGUUUAUUCUCUGUCGCGAGGCCAUCAUCGUCUGGGCCCGCCGGAUAAGACCUUAGGAAUGUAGCUCACCUUCGGGGGAGUGUUAUAGCCUAUGGUGAUGCGGCGAGGCUCGGGCGAGGUCCGCGCUUCGGCAAGGAUGAUGGCGUAAUGGUUGUCGGCGGCCCGUCUUGAAACACGGACCAAGGAGUCUAACAUCUAUGCGAGUGUUCGGGUGUCAAACCCCUACGCGUAAUGAAAGUGAACGGAGGUGGGAACCGCAAGGUGCACCAUCGACCGAUCCUGAUGUCCUCGGAUGGAUUUGAGUAAGAGCAUAGCUGUUGGGACCCGAAAGAUGGUGAACUAUGCCUGAAUAGGGUGAAGCCAGAGGAAACUCUGGUGGAGGCUCGCAGCGGUUCUGACGUGCAAAUCGAUCGUCAAAUUUGGGUAUAGGGGCG